Molecule: long non-coding RNA, 709 nt
Organism: Lolium perenne
Lineage: Eukaryota; Viridiplantae; Streptophyta; Magnoliopsida; Poales; Poaceae
Source: RefSeq, a predicted model, not a curated record
GGCAGUGACUCCACGAAGCUAGCCUGAUCCCUAAGCUCUUACCUUAAGAGAGAGGAACGGCAACAACUUCAAGAAUCUGAGAGAACCUCUGGGAGCUGCAACUGAUUGCCAUUCUGCACCGGCUGAAACAAAAGGCGCUAUGGUGAGGCCAAAGAGGGGCAACCUCGAGUUGAGGAGGUCCCUGGAGCGACAGGUUAAGUAUGACAACGGCACCCACCCGAGGCAGCUGGCUCACAGCAAGAUGGAGAUGGACAUGGAGCUUGCAGCCCCAGCUCCGCCUGCUGCCCAAGCUCCGCCGCCUGUCCACGGCCCUGCCCCAGCAAUCCAGGGCCACGCCCAUGCCGCCGUCCCUGCUGUACCUCUCCCUGCCAACCAUGACGCCGCCGAGGUGGCCGGCGGUGAGCCCGGGUGGAAGAGAGUGACACGUUUGUGCACCAUUCUCUAGGCUUUAAGCCAAAGAGAACGUAUCUGCCAAACCGUUUUGCGGACCAGUAUUCUACGUCAUAUUUGUUAGAGAACCUGAAGUAAUGCGUUUACUGAAGUACCUUAAUGAUCAGAGACCACUGUGGAGUACCCAAACAAAGUCGUACUAUGGAGCUUUUAGUGCCUGUAAUGCUUUGGCCUUAGUGAUCAUCGAAAUGUACCGUGGAGCUGCAGAUGAUGUGAUGUGAUGGACUGAUGGUGGUUCCAUUCCGUCAAAUUCUUCAGA